AGACUUUGGUAACAGGAAUAAUCGCCGAAUUUGGGUCUUAGCUUUGACAAAACAUCGUUGAUGGACCUAAUAACUUACUAACUGGCUCUGGCUGAGUGCCCCAUGGAGCUUCAUUUAAUUACCACAGAAUGACAAUUUAAACUGCAGAAGAAGGCCAUUUUGAGAUGUUUGCGAAGAAACUUCUGAGGAUGUCCCUUUACAGAGCAGCAGGAGAUUUGCUCUCUGUGUCAGCCCUUGCAUCUCUGUACUGGAGAGACUAAAUGGAGAUCCACAAGCUGAAAAGCCUGCAAGCUACCUGGUGAUUACCACAGAGGGGAUUUCGAUCAGCAUGGUGAGAGGAGUGAUUGCAUUUCCUCCGCAUCCGUUCAGUCUUCCCUUUGGCUUUUGAGAUCUACAGAGGAUUGAAAGGCAAGUGAAGUGAUGGGUUCGCUGACUCAGCCCUUUGGGUACCUCUUUACUUUGGAUAGA
Molecule: long non-coding RNA, 468 nt
Filed under: Macaca mulatta (Rhesus monkey)
Lineage: Eukaryota; Metazoa; Chordata; Mammalia; Primates; Cercopithecidae
Description: lncRNA (ENSMMUG00000053977.1)
Source: RNAcentral